GCAAACUUGGUCAUUUAGAGGAAGUAAAAGUCGUAACAAGGUUUCCGUAGGUGAACCUGCGGAAGGAUCAUUAAUGAGUUAGGGUCUUCUAGGCCCGACCUCCCAACCCUUUGUUUACUUGACCUCAGUUGCUUCGGCAGGCCCGUCUUAAGCUGACCGCUGGAGGACCGCUCAAUGCGGGCGUUGCCUCUGGCCAGUGUCUGCCGAUAGCCUAAUCUCCUAACUCUGGAUCAAUCAUGAUUUACAAUGUCUAAGUGAUUUUAUUCAAUUAAAAGCAAAAACUUUCAACAACGGAUCUCUUGGUUCUGGCAUCGAUGAAGAACGCAGC
This 328-nucleotide unclassified non-coding RNA is filed under the name uncultured fungus. RNAcentral describes it as "partial contains small subunit ribosomal RNA, internal transcribed spacer 1, and 5.8S ribosomal RNA". The stretch from base 1 to 73 matches the Rfam family "Eukaryotic small subunit ribosomal RNA", at positions 1759 to 1831 of the family's 1831-position model. Lineage: Eukaryota; Fungi. The record is from RNAcentral.